GAGCAGGGUUGAUGAUGCAGACAGAUAUUAAGUGGCACACUCUUUAAAAUUACUAUGCUAUUAAUGAAUCCGGGCAAGGAGCAAAAGAGGCGUUGGCACCAAAAUCACAGAUCUUUCCAUCCAGGGCAGACAGCUGUCAAAGAAAAUAAUACUUGGUGUGAACUAAGCAAAUAUAUCUACCUCCUGUCUCUCUGGAGAAUCACUGGAAUUAAAGUCUAGAAUUAGAAAACAAAAUAGUCAAAACAAUAAAUAGAAUAUGAGAGGUGUCACUGUUACAAAAAUAUUUUAAUACAUUUCUAGAAGACCAUAAUUGGAUGGGGAAAAGCCUUAGCCUAAAGUACAAUAUUGAUUGCUGUAGGAAAAGUUGGGGUUAUUCCAUCUGAAAGAGCUCUGGAAAAUUCCUGUGACUCAGAGGCAGCAGAUAUGAAAGAGGACAAACCUGUGCGGUAGAGCUAUGGUCCACUGGACUGGUCUCUCACUCCUGCCUACACAGUGAAGAUGACAUUUACCCAACUAGACCAUCUGGGGAAGGGUUAUGCUUACAGGCUGACCCAUAAUGACUAGCAAUGAAUGUUUUCUCACAUUGGCAUGGUGGUGAGGUCCAGGUUGACCCUGCUCUACCUGUUCUCCUUAAAAUGAAGCCAACUAACACACCCACAGACCCCACCGCACCCUUCCACUCAGAGUGUCCAGGCAGAAUUCCACGCUCAGGGAAGAAACCGACCAGAAGUAAAAGCAGAGAAAUCAUACCAGCUAUGUGUCCUGUGGAAACCACAGAUUACUAACAUACGAGGACAGCAAGCUGUGUGGAAGAGAGACACCAUAUAAACAAAGAAAAAAAAUGCCCCAAAGGAAACGUAAUUCACAGCACCAGGCAGCUUUUAGAAUUUUUUUUACUUAUCUUCUGAGAUGUUUAAGAAGUUAUCAGGUUCAUAAAACAUGAAAAGUACACAAUCAAAGGAUCAAUCAAAAAACAUGAAAAGCUCUUAAGACAUCAAAAUAUGGAAUCUGAAAUUAAAAUAAACCAACAAAACUAGAAGAUAAUAAUAGCAAAAAUUUGUAUAUACUUACAAUAUGCCAGAUCAUGUUUUAUGCCCUUUAUGUGUGUUAUCUUAUUUAAUUUUCACAACAAUGCUGAUAUAGACACACUAUUAUCCUUUUUUAUAAAUAAGCCUAAAGCACACAAUUGUUAAAUUGUUAAAGGGGCACUUAUUACCCAGUAAAUAAGUGGCAGUAAUGAGAUACAAGCCUUAGUAUUCUGCCUCCAAAAACCUAGCAGUUAGGAAUUAAACUAUAUUUCCUCCCAAAAUACAUGAAUGAUAAAGAAAAAAUAAGUUUAAUAAGGUUCCAAAGGGAGAAAGACAAAAAAUUAUCUACAAAGUAAUAAAAAUCAGAGAGGCAUCAGACAUUUUGUCAACCAUACUUUAUGCCAGAUAGCAAUAAGGCUCUUAAAUUCUGACAUCAAAUGAUUUUCAAUUCAGAUUUAAUAUCAAACCAAGCAGGCCUUUUAUAGGAUUCAAGGACUGAAACACUUGACCUCUUUAAUAUCUCUUAGGAAGUAUCUGGAGUAUGUGUGCCAUCAAAAUGAAGAAGUACAACAAAAAAGAAGGAUGCACAAGAUAAAAAAUAAAUCUGGCCAACCACAGGAAAAAGAGAAAGACAGAGAAAGAGGAAGAAAGAGAGGAAGGGAGGAAAGAAGGAAAGGUGGACAUUACUGUAUGCUGUUGUAGACUUUAUAAACACUGUACACUUAGGAUGUACUAAAUUUAUAUUUUUUCUUUCUUCAG
RNAcentral lists this long non-coding RNA (1787 nucleotides) under Homo sapiens (human). RNAcentral's name for it is "HSALNT0293321". Lineage: Eukaryota; Metazoa; Chordata; Mammalia; Primates; Hominidae. The record is from RNAcentral.